Chrysoperla carnea is the source of this 5833-nucleotide RNA transcript. RefSeq lists it as uncharacterized. The record is from RefSeq and is a predicted model, not a curated record. The transcript is spliced from 8 exons. NCBI's taxonomy places the organism in Eukaryota, Metazoa, Arthropoda, Insecta, Neuroptera, Chrysopidae.
UAAAUUUCACAUAUGUAUAAUAAUGGAAUUAGUUGUAAAAAAAUCACCGAAUACUGCUUUACGUAGCAGUACAACAAAAUCAUCAUCAGCAUCAGAGUCAUCUACUACAGCAUCAGCUAAUGUAACAGAUGGUACUAAUAAUAAUCCAUUUCAACGACAUGAUGUACAAGAAUGGUCACGUUUAGAUUCAAUUACUGGCAUGAUAGAACAUGCACGUUUGCAACGAGAUCAUUGGACAGCAAAUACACAUAAUUCAACACAACAGUAUGGCAAAAUAAUAGAUUCACGUGACAAAUCAGCUGCAGAUGGUAAUAUCCAACAACGGCACCGUAAACAGUUGGAAGUAUUUCAGACGCAAACACCUGGUGGUUCAUUACAAGUAAUUCGUACCCAAACCAUAACAAGUAGUUCAUCUAGAUGGUCAUCGUCAAAUGUUACAUCAUCCACAUCUUCGUCAACGGGAACAUCAACGGUGCUAGGUAGUAAUUUAAGUCAACUAAUUAGUAAUAAUGAUGGCGACGAUACAACACGAACAAUAAAUCCAGAUUUUGAAAAUUUACAGUUAGCGUUAAACCCACUCGAUCUGAGCUCGCAGAAAUCGAAAGCGAGCGUGGGCCGAAGUGGUUCUAUUGGUGGUAGGCGACCUCCAUCACGACCUCGUAGUUAUAUUGGUAGUAAAACGGAUAAUACCCUACAACAGACAUCAAACACUAUUUCAUCUACAUCCAAACCGCCAACGACAACAAUCCACAAACAAUUUGAAAACGAUGUUGAAUCAAGUUUAGAACGUGUCUCAGAAAUAUGUCAAAAAAUUCAUGAAGAAACACUUAGCCAAAAUAAUAUAUUAAAUGGUUUUACGACAAAAUCACAUGUCGAAACAUCUAGAACUAAAUCGAAUUCAAUUGAAAAUUUAGAUAAUAUAGACACAAAUAGUGAUGAUAAUUAUUUAGAAGACUGGAAACGUAGUGCGAAAAUUCGACGUUCGUUACAAAUAACAAAAUUGGGUGAAACAAGUCAUAGUCCACAAUCAUCGAAACGAGUAAUCGAUUUACCAAAUAAUACUGGGAAUGUAAAUAAAAUUAAACAAGAAUUAGAAAAAGGUAGAAGACUGAAUACUGCGUUACGUGGUACAAACGUUGAUUUGGAUGCGUUAGAUCAAAUUCUCAAAUCAAUAUCGCCUGUGAUUAACUCUGAUAAAUUUGAACCUCCCGAAAAAGAUACUGCGCACACUGGAGGAUAUAUUAAGGAAAAUAAACCAGUUUUAAGUAAACGACAUUCUUUUAUCACGGCUGAAUCUUUACAAGAAGUACGAGGUCGAUUACGCCGUUUAAGCUCACCGAUUAAUUACGUUUAUAAAGAUUUUGAAACUCCCAGUAAACAAGAACCCGAACCUGAUGAUGGUAUUGUAGCUGAAGAAAGUCUAAAAAUUGACGAGACACCUUCGACUUCAUCUCGUGUACGAUCGUAUGUAUUCGGUAUGGAGACUGCAAUGGUUAACGGACGUAAAACCGGUAGUCUUGAAUCGCGUACUUCCAGUAAAAGUAAUAGCAUAAAUGGUAAUCGUACUGAAGAUUGGUAUAAUCGUCGAAAAUCUUAUGGUUUUGAACAAAUGCACAAUCAAAACGAUUGUAAUGGACUACAAAGUAAAGUGGAAUCAUCCACGGAUAGUGGAAUUUGUCGUUCAACGGAAAUUACAAUUCUACCAUCAACUUUAAAAUCGGAAGCGAAUGUUAUUCGUAAUAAUAAAAGCACUGUUGUUAAUUUAACGAAUUCGAAACGAAAUGAGCAUGUUGAUCCAUUCUCAAGUCGUAAAGCUCAAGAGGAAUUAAAUACGGUCUGGAAUAAGAUUGCAUCGAUGAAAAUUGGAAAUAAUCAUCAAAAUACGGAACGUGAAUCAAUUACAAUUCGUAUACCAAUUAAAAACGACGGUGAAACUAUAAAUUCAACAAAAAUUCAUUUAAAUUCGGAUCAUGAAUUAAAACGACAUUCAAUCGCAGUCGAUGAAUCGAAGUAUGUAACACAAAAUGAACGAUUUCCACAUUUACGACGAACUAGUUUAGCAAUACCCGAUAAUCGUGAAUAUUUUACGGAUAAUACUGAUGAUGAUUUUAAUCAACAUGGUCGUAAAACGAAAAAAGUUGAAUUUUGUAAGACAGAAGUACAUUUUGCUGCUGAAUCUGGACGUGUUAAUAUUGUGGAAACUGAUGGAAAACCACCACCAACACAAAAUUUCCGAAGACGCCGACGUAAUAGUGGAGGUAAUCAAACGUUAUUAAUCGAAGAUAGUCCUAGAAAUAAUAAUGGUUUACCAUUAACACAUUUCGGUGAUAUAGAUUCCGAUAAGAAGUUAUUUUAUGGAAAGGAAAUUGAUGAAAAAUAUCCAAAAACUUUUGAACCUAUUGAACCGGUAUGGGACAAAUAUAUUUCAAAUACACCAAUCAAAAAUGGUGUUGAUUACGAAGAUGAACAAAAAGAUUCAUCGGAGAAUGAAAACACACCUAAAGGAAUUUUAAAAAAUAAACCAAUCAAACCAAAACCGUAUCAUUUAGGCGAGAAUAUUGAAAUCACAAAUGACAAUCCCAAUAUCACACCGUGGGGAGUACGUUUAAAACCUGUGCACAGUUCAAGUGAUGAAGCAGCGACAUCAACACCACCAAUGUGGCAUUCAACAGUUGUAGUUAAAAAUCCUAAAUUUAAAAAUAUCGAAGAAGAAACAAAUUUAACGAAAUUUCAAAAAGAAUUUAAACAAUUUAAAUCAUCAAAUCAACAUCAAUCAGUUUCAUCCUCACUAUCGGAUGAUAAUUCUAGUGACACAAACAAUUGUGUACGGCGUCCGUCAUGGUCAGUUGCCGAUCGUAUUAAACAAGUGGAAGAUAUGAAAUGGACUGAAAACAAAGGGUAUUCAACGAAAAUUAAUUUUGGUGAAAUCGGUGAGGCAACAAUUGUUAAUCAAAAUAUGGAAAGUAAUAACAAUCGAGCAUCACAAUCUUUGGAGGGUAAUACAACAUGGCAAAAUCAACAAGACAUCAAUACUAUAGAUGAAAUGAAAUCCAUGCCCGUUAUAAACAAAGCUCUAGUUGUUAGAUUUGGCAAGAAGACCGAAACGAAUAAUAACAAUGAAUAUCUAACAAAAUAUAUUGAAAAUACAAAAUCAAGUACCGUAAAUACGAACAGCAACCAUAAAAUCACAAAAAUUGAUUCAACAACGCCAUUACGAAAAAGUCCAAUUGUAUUUAAUAAUAUAAAAUUACCACGUGCCACAUUACAUUCCUUAAAAUCAACAUCAUUAAUCAUGAAUACAAUUCAACAAAGUAAACAACAACAAGAAACAAUCGCAACAACUGUAGUUCCUAAUUACCAAAAAUCACAAACAUCCGACUCAAUAUCAUCCGAAUCAUAUCAUUCGAUAAGUAGUACAACAACCACCGAUGAUUUUAUUAUACCGAAACAAUUAGAAGCUUUAAAGAAAUUAUAUGAAGAUGCUGGUGAAUUAAGUGAUGAUAGUGAGCGGGCUGAUGAAGAAGUUCGAAGUUAUAUGAGUGCUGACACGGAGGAUAAUGAUAAAGUUGUCCCAGUAUUAUCAGCAUCACCGUUAAAAGAUGAUACAAGCAGUGUGUUGUCAGGAAGUUGGAGUAAAAUGCGUGCAAUACAAAUGUCACAAACGUUUAAAAAGUUAAAAAGUGAUUUAAAACCAACACAAAUUAACAAUAAUAACAAUAACAAUAAUAGUAAUAAUAAUUGUUCAUUAAAUGCAAUUAUAACAAUGGAUAAUUGCGAUAAGAAAUACGUUGAAAACAACAGAGAGAGUGUGAAUCAACGUUGGACAAAAUUUACGUCAAAAGAACAACCGAAUAAUAGUUGCACAUCAAACACGUAUGAAAAUGUGAAACAUACUCCAAAACAAGUACCAACAAAUAAUACACGUAGUUAUACAAUUCCAAACACUGAGAAAUUUGAUGGUUCGCCAUCUUCAACGAAACGUCAUUAUCCAAUGAAAUUAUCCGCACAAAAAUAUUAUGAAAAUACAAAUAAUUUAACAUCACCAUCUUUAGUUGGACUACAAACAACAACCCAGUCAACACAAUCAACGCAAACCUCACAAACAACACGCACUGAAACAAAUAAUAAAUAUUUUAUGACGAAUGGUAAAACAUUCGAAGAGAAUUUACGAAAAUAUCCAAGCGAAAAAUUACAAAACUAUAAUGAGAUUAUAACCGAACGAAAAUCGACGAAAGAGUUAAAUACUAGACGAUCACAAUCACCGACUAAAGAAAUAACAUAUUUAAAUCGACGUAAUUCGAAUAAGAGUAACAUGACCCGAAGAUCAUCAUCACCGACAAAUAAUGGUAUACGUGAAACAAUACGCUUACGACCAGUACCAACAUAUUUUGGUGCAAUACGCUCACCCCGAACUCCUCGAAAAUAUAGUGAAAAAGUUAAUGUUUUAGAAAAAAGUGAGACAAAUAAUUCUUUACUUACAAAUAAACCCGAUUUACUUUGCCAUAAUUCAAUAAGUACACGAAUUGGUUCCGAUAUUAAAACCAAAGUAAUCAAAGAAAUUAGCGAAGAUAAACUUCGCCGUGAUUCACCAAUUCCUAACAGUGAGAAAUUACCUUCACCGAUUUAUGCAAACUUAGAAGAAAUUAAAUCAAAUAAAUAUUCAUCGCGUACCUCAGAAACAAUUGAAAAUGAAACAGCAAUUUUAGAAGAAUUAACUCGUGCAGCUGAUCAAAUACUUUUAGCUGUGAAUGGAUACACUGAUGAGGAGUCAUUAAAAAUAAGUACCGAAGAUGAUGACGACGAUAUAAAACGUAAACGAGGAUACGAACGUAAAACUGCCGAUGUUUUAGGAACAAUUUCGGAAACAAAAUCAUGGAGUCAAAAAACAAAAGUAUCCGAAAAGUCAUCGGUGUCAUCAAAAGUGACACAAAGUACACGUUUAACGAAAUCACGAACGCCAUCCACAUCAUCAAUUGAUAGUAUAAAUACGAAUAGUAAAACGAAAAUUGUGGAAAAGAAAGAAGUUGAUGAACAACGACAUAAACGAAAAUCUUCGAAUGAAUCCUCUGUGAAAACAACCACACGAGCUCGUCGAUUACAACGUGCUAGUAGUCGAGAGGCUUUGUUGCAAUCACAUGGUAGUUCUUCGGAGGAUAUUGCGACACCUAUUGUUCCGGCCAGGAAACCACGAGCAACACGUCGAGUUAAAAGUACUGAAAAUAAAGAAUCGAUUAAUUCUUCAUUGAAUAGUAAUUCACAAGCUAAGCGAAGAACGUCAUCAAGUCAAAUUUCUCGAACAUCUUCAUCGAAAAAGGAAGUAGACGUUGUUAAGAAAGAUAGGCAUUCUGUAACAACGGGUCUACCAGAAAUUCGACAUAAAACCGCUGUUAGCACAAUUCGAAGUUCAGCUGAAAAACAAGCUGAAAAAGAGAAAUUACGAAGAAGUGAAGAAAGUCGAAAACGUGUUUCAUCUAGACGAGACCCACAUGGAUCAACAUCCUCAAGUCGUUUAAGAAGUAAUCAUCCAACGUCAUAUCGAGGUACAGAUGGACAUGGCUCUACUUAUGGCACAGCUAAUUUACAUGGAAUUCAAACAGUUCCAGUGGAGCGAAUAACUACAACAAACGGGAACGUUUUGUACGUACCAAAUCCGGCGUAUAGGUGCACCUCAUUGGUAGCAGUGAAUCGUGUUUCACGGUCUGAGUGUCCGUGCCUUUGCUCGUGAUAAAAAAUUCGUUCAUUCAUAAAACAAAGCAUACACACACAAAUGUGUUCUUAGAUUUUUAGAAUAGAUUAAAUAGAAGAUGCAGUCGAAAUGAAGCUCUAAGUCGUC